RNAcentral lists this ribosomal RNA (253 nucleotides) under uncultured bacterium. RNAcentral's name for it is "partial 16S ribosomal RNA". It matches the Rfam family "Bacterial small subunit ribosomal RNA", at positions 524 to 776 of the family's 1533-position model. The record is from RNAcentral.
UACGUAGGGUGCAAGCGUUGUCCGGAAUUAUUGGGCGUAAAGAGCUCGUAGGCGGUCUGUCGCGUCUGCUGUGAAAACUCGGGGCUUAACCCCGGGCCUGCAGUGGGUACGGGCAGACUAGAGUGCGGUAGGGGAGACUGGAAUUCCUGGUGUAGCGGUGAAAUGCGCAGAUAUCAGGAGGAACACCGGUGGCGAAGGCGGGUCUCUGGGCCGUAACUGACGCUGAGGAGCGAAAGCGUGGGGAGCGAUCAGG